UGAAUACGAGACGCUAAGGCGUCGAAGUAGUGUAUGUCAUACUUCCAAGAAAAGCUUGCACUGUCAUAAGUAAAAAAUGCCUGUACCAUAACCGACACAGGUGGGUAGGUAGAGUAUACUAAGGGGCGCGAGAUAACUCUCUCUAAGGAACUCGGCAAAAUAACUCCGUAACUUCGGGAGAAGGAGUACCUUAUUCUAUAAGGUUGCAAUAACAAGAUCCAAGCAACUGUUUAUCAAAAACACAGGUCUCCGCUAAGUCGUAAGACGAUGUAUGGGGGCUGACGCCUGCCCAGUGCCAGAAGGUUAAAGAAGUCGGUUAGCAUUAGCGAAGCUGGUAACUGAAGCCCUGGUGAACGGCGGCCGUAACUAUAACGGUCCUAAGGUAGCGAAAUUCCUUGUCGGGUAAGUUCCGACCCGCACGAAAGGCGUAAUGAUUUGGAUACUGUCUCGGAGAGGGGCUCGGUGAAAUAGACUUGUCUGUGAAGAUGCGGACUACCUGCACCAGGACAGAAAGACCCUAUGAAGCUUUACUGUAACUUGAAAUUGAAAUUGGACUUUAUUCGCGCAGUAUAGGUGGGAGGUUUGAUUAUAAUCUUGCGGGAUUAUUGGAGCCAUCAGUGAGAUACCACUCUUGUAAUGUUAGAUUUCUAACUUUGAAUCAUUAUCUGGUCAAAGGACAGUUUCAGGCGGGCAGUUUGACUGGGGCGGUCGCCUCCCAAACGGUAACGGAGGCGUACAAAGGUUUCCUCUGAACGGGUAGAAAUCGUAUCUAGAGUGUAAAGGCAUAAGGAAGCUUGACUGUGAGACCUACAAGUCGAACAGGGACGAAAGUCGGUCUUAGUGAUCUGACGGUACUGAGUGGAAAGGCCGUCACUCAACGGAUAAAAGUUACUCUAGGAUAACAGGCUGAUCUCCCCCAAGAGUUCACAUCGACGGGGAGGUUUGGCACCUCGAUGUCGGCCCAUCGCAUCCUGGGGCGGUAGUACGUCCCAAGGGUUGGGCUGUUCGCCCAUGAAAGCGGUACGCGAGCUGGGUUCAGAACGUCGUGAGACAGUUCGGUCCAUAUCCGGUGUAGGCGUUAGAAUAUUGAGAGGAGCCUUCUUUAGUACGAGAGGACCGAGAAGGACAUACCUCUGGUGUACCAGUUAUCGUGCCAACGGUAAACGCUGGGUAGCUAUGUAUGGAGUGGAUAACGGCUGAAAGCAUCUAAGUGGGAAGCCCACCUCAAGAUAAGUAUUCGC
RNAcentral lists this ribosomal RNA (1241 nucleotides) under metagenome. Its description in RNAcentral is "bacterial LSU rRNA". It matches the Rfam family "Bacterial large subunit ribosomal RNA", at positions 1564 to 2815 of the family's 2925-position model. The record is from RNAcentral.